Molecule: ribosomal RNA, 253 nt
Filed under: uncultured bacterium
Lineage: Bacteria
Description: partial 16S ribosomal RNA
Rfam family: Bacterial small subunit ribosomal RNA
Source: RNAcentral
UACGUAGGGGGCAAGCGUUGUCCGGAAUCAUUGGGCGUAAAGCGCGUGUAGGCGGCUUGGUAAGUCUGCUCUGAAAGCCCGGGGCUCAACCCCGGGAGGCGGGUGGAUACUGGCAAGCUCGAGUCCGGAAGAGGAGUGUGGAAUUCCUGGUGUAGCGGUGAAAUGCGCAGAUAUCAGGAGGAACACCAAUGGCGAAGGCAGCACUCUGGGACGUGACUGACGCUGAGACGCGAAAGCGUGGGGAGCGAACAGG